UUGUAACAGCCAUCUCCUAGGCAACAUGUGCAAUAAAAUGAAAGCAAGAGUACAUUUUUGACUUCUGACCUUGUGACAAUGAACCAGAGAUGACGUGUCUGGCCGGCCAUGCAGAAGUGUCUUAGAAGUGGCACAAAACACAGCUGUCUCCACACAAAGGAGACAGCGGCUACAAAAGCAACAACUUCUGAUACCAGUUGCCUUAACUACUUUUCAGCCCUCUGGAAAUGGUCACUAGCUAGCAUACCUGUGCAUGACUUUGAGUUAUGGUGAAGCAUGAGGACACCUACUACAGAUAUGCCAACUAUCAGCGCUCACCAUUUGAAGAAAGUAUGGACCAAGGCCCAGACUAGAGGUGAUAAAGAGGAGCCAAAACCACAGCCCAGAAACGUGCAAGCUCUAAAAAGGUGGAGCCAAGGAGGAGCCAUGUAAAAUAGUUCCUAGAAAAUGUAAGCUAGUUUAUGGAUGUGCAUACAGAUCUAUGAACAUGCAACAAGCUGAUGUAAGUGAAAAGGUAUUUAAGGGGUAUCCCCGAAGGUGAUGGUGUGGUUUCAGAUGAGUGCCAAUAUGCAUCUGGCCAUAAUAACCUUUGCUUUA
Long non-coding RNA from Passer domesticus (house sparrow), 597 nucleotides. RefSeq lists it as uncharacterized. The record is from RefSeq and is a predicted model, not a curated record. NCBI's taxonomy places the organism in Eukaryota, Metazoa, Chordata, Aves, Passeriformes, Passeridae. The transcript is spliced from 3 exons.